RNAcentral lists this ribosomal RNA (405 nucleotides) under uncultured bacterium. RNAcentral describes it as "partial 16S ribosomal RNA". It matches the Rfam family "Bacterial small subunit ribosomal RNA", at positions 30 to 526 of the family's 1533-position model. The record is from RNAcentral.
AUUGAACGCUGGCGGCAGGCUUAACACAUGCAAGUCGAACGAGUGGCGGACGGGUGAGUAAUGCUUGGGAAUCUGGCUUAUGGAGGGGGAUAACGACGGGGCACUGUCGCUAAUACCGCGUUCCAUAGGAUGGGCCCAAGUGGGAUUAGGUAGGUGGUGGGGUAAUGGCAUACCAAGCCGACUAUCUCUAGCUGGUCUGAGAGGAUGACCAGCCACACCGGGACUGAGACACGGCCCGGACUCCUACGGGAGGCAGCAGGGGGGAAUAUUGCGCAAUGGGGGCAACCUGACGCAGCCAUGCCGCGUGAAUGAAGAAGGCCUUCGGGUUGUAAAGUUCUUUCGGUUACGAGGCGUUAAUCACAGAAGAAGCACCGGCUAACUCCGUGCCAGCAGCCGCGGUAAUUC